UACGGAGGGUGCGAGCGUUGUCCGGAAUCAUUGGGCGUAAAGGGCGCGUAGGUGGCCCGGUCAGUUCGUGGUGAAAGCGCGGGGCUCAACCCUGCGUCGGCCAUGAAUACUGCCGCGGCUGGAGCACUGUAGAGGCAGGCGGAAUUCCGGGUGGAGUGGUGAAAUGCGUAGAGAUCCGGAGGAACACCGAAGGCGAAGGCAGUGUCCUGGCGCGUAACUGACGCUGAGGUGCGAAAGCCAGGGGAGCGAACGGG
Molecule: ribosomal RNA, 254 nt
Filed under: uncultured bacterium
Lineage: Bacteria
Description: partial 16S ribosomal RNA
Rfam family: Bacterial small subunit ribosomal RNA
Source: RNAcentral